This 328-nucleotide long non-coding RNA is filed under the name Olea europaea subsp. europaea. The record is from RNAcentral. Lineage: Eukaryota; Viridiplantae; Streptophyta; Magnoliopsida; Lamiales; Oleaceae.
AACACACACACAGAGUAACGAGAGAAGCAGAGACCGGCAGUGAAGGGAGAAAAAGGGAAAGAAGAAGGGAGAAAAAGGGAAAGAUGAAAGGAAAAAGAAAAAGAAAAAGGAAAAGAAGAAAGGAAAAAGAAGAAGAAAAGAGGUGAGGUUAAUCUCUUCAAGUUGGGUUUAAUUUUUCCACUUUGUUUUCGAGUGAUUAAGUAUGAUUUAUAUUAAAUUUUUAGGGUUUUAACUUGUAGAAUAAAAUGUCGAAUUUUAGGUGAUAUUUGUACGAAUUGGAGCUCAAGUUUGGGGAUUUCUUCAUUUCCAAUUUUAGCUAGGUAAGGGA